RNAcentral lists this long non-coding RNA (369 nucleotides) under Manihot esculenta (cassava). RNAcentral's name for it is "long non-coding RNA (MESC_LNC010006)". Lineage: Eukaryota; Viridiplantae; Streptophyta; Magnoliopsida; Malpighiales; Euphorbiaceae. The record is from RNAcentral.
GUGAGCAGAAUAAUAAGAACAUUAUAUUAAUACUUCAUGCUUUCAUGGAAUGCAUCACAUCACAACAAAUCACAUCAAGGAUGGUAUUGUCACUAAUAGUCCUCUACAUAAUCCAAUAGUGCCAGGGGCAUAGAAUGGGCCUCGACCUGGACUUUCUCUUACCAUAACAUAACAUAACAUAACAUUCCAAUAAUGCCAGGGGCGUAGAAUGGGCAUCGACCUGGUCUUUCUCUUACAUAGUGUCAGGGGCAUAGAAUGGGCCUCGACCUGGACUUCCAUACAUACCAUAACAUCAUCAUAUCAUAUCAUACGAGGACUAAAAGAUCAUCCAAUAUCCAUCCACAUCAUCAACAUAAAAUGCAAUGCAAC